CGAAAAUAGAGCGGCAGGUCGGUAGUCCCUGCAUUCCCAAGCGGGUUCUUCCCAGCCACGG
RNAcentral lists this non-coding RNA (61 nucleotides) under unclassified sequences. The record is from RNAcentral.